This 1372-nucleotide ribosomal RNA is filed under the name uncultured bacterium. RNAcentral's name for it is "bacterial SSU rRNA". It matches the Rfam family "Bacterial small subunit ribosomal RNA", at positions 28 to 1381 of the family's 1533-position model. The record is from RNAcentral.
GAUGAACGCUGGCGGCGUGCCUAAUACAUGCAAGUCGAGCGAACGGACGAGAAGCUUGCUUCUCUGAUGUUAGCGGCGGACGGGUGAGUAACACGUGGAUAACCUACCUAUAAGACUGGGAUAACUUCGGGAAACCGGAGCUAAUACCGGAUAAUAUUUUGAACCGCAUGGUUCAAAAGUGAAAGACGGUCUUGCUGUCACUUAUAGAUGGAUCCGCGCUGCAUUAGCUAGUUGGUAAGGUAACGGCUUACCAAGGCAACGAUGCAUAGCCGACCUGAGAGGGUGAUCGGCCACACUGGAACUGAGACACGGUCCAGACUCCUACGGGAGGCAGCAGUAGGGAAUCUUCCGCAAUGGGCGAAAGCCUGACGGAGCAACGCCGCGUGAGUGAUGAAGGUCUUCGGAUCGUAAAACUCUGUUAUUAGGGAAGAACAUAUGUGUAAGUAACUGUGCACAUCUUGACGGUACCUAAUCAGAAAGCCACGGCUAACUACGUGCCAGCAGCCGCGGUAAUACGUAGGUGGCAAGCGUUAUCCGGAAUUAUUGGGCGUAAAGCGCGCGUAGGCGGUUUUUUAAGUCUGAUGUGAAAGCCCACGGCUCAACCGUGGAGGGUCAUUGGAAACUGGAAAACUUGAGUGCAGAAGAGGAAAGUGGAAUUCCAUGUGUAGCGGUGAAAUGCGCAGAGAUAUGGAGGAACACCAGUGGCGAAGGCGACUUUCUGGUCUGUAACUGACGCUGAUGUGCGAAAGCGUGGGGAUCAAACAGGAUUAGAUACCCUGGUAGUCCACGCCGUAAACGAUGAGUGCUAAGUGUUAGGGGGUUUCCGCCCCUUAGUGCUGCAGCUAACGCAUUAAGCACUCCGCCUGGGGAGUACGACCGCAAGGUUGAAACUCAAAGGAAUUGACGGGGACCCGCACAAGCGGUGGAGCAUGUGGUUUAAUUCGAAGCAACGCGAAGAACCUUACCAAAUCUUGACAUCCUUUGACAACUCUAGAGAUAGAGCCUUCCCCUUCGGGGGACAAAGUGACAGGUGGUGCAUGGUUGUCGUCAGCUCGUGUCGUGAGAUGUUGGGUUAAGUCCCGCAACGAGCGCAACCCUUAAGCUUAGUUGCCAUCAUUAAGUUGGGCACUCUAAGUUGACUGCCGGUGACAAACCGGGGGAAGGUGGGGAUGACGUCAAAUCAUCAUGCCCCUUAUGAUUUGGGCUACACACGUGCUACAAUGGACAAUACAAAGGGCAGCGAAACCGCGAGGUCAAGCAAAUCCCAUAAAGUUGUUCUCAGUUCGGAUUGUAGUCUGCAACUCGACUACAUGAAGCUGGAAUCGCUAGUAAUCAUAGAUCAGCAUGCUACGGUGAAUACGUUCCCGGGUCU